RNAcentral lists this ribosomal RNA (605 nucleotides) under Escherichia coli. RNAcentral describes it as "partial 23S ribosomal RNA". It matches the Rfam family "Bacterial large subunit ribosomal RNA", at positions 2036 to 2640 of the family's 2925-position model. The record is from RNAcentral. Lineage: Bacteria; Pseudomonadati; Pseudomonadota; Gammaproteobacteria; Enterobacterales; Enterobacteriaceae.
GUGAAAUUGAACUCGCUGUGAAGAUGCAGUGUACCCGCGGCAAGACGGAAAGACCCCGUGAACCUUUACUAUAGCUUGACACUGAACAUUGAGCCUUGAUGUGUAGGAUAGGUGGGAGGCUUUGAAGUGUGGACGCCAGUCUGCAUGGAGCCGACCUUGAAAUACCACCCUUUAAUGUUUGAUGUUCUAACGUGGACCCGUAAUCCGGGUUGCGGACAGUGUCUGGUGGGUAGUUUGACUGGGGCGGUCUCCUCCUAAAGAGUAACGGAGGAGCACGAAGGUUGGCUAAUCCUGGUCGGACAUCAGGAGGUUAGUGCAAUGGCAUAAGCCAGCUUGACUGCGAGCGUGACGGCGCGAGCAGGUGCGAAAGCAGGUCAUAGUGAUCCGGUGGUUCUGAAUGGAAGGGCCAUCGCUCAACGGAUAAAAGGUACUCCGGGGAUAACAGGCUGAUACCGCCCAAGAGUUCAUAUCGACGGCGGUGUUUGGCACCUCGAUGUCGGCUCAUCACAUCCUGGGGCUGAAGUAGGUCCCAAGGGUAUGGCUGUUCGCCAUUUAAAGUGGUACGCGAGCUGGGUUUAGAACGUCGUGAGACAGUUCGGUCCCUA